CGACUUGCUUGCUUCUGCGACUGCUACUAACACUGUGCCUUUCUUGCAAUAUUAAAUGCACCCUCCUUUCUUCUUUCUUUCGCAAUCAUAUCUCCUGUAAAACAAUCCCUUCUUGAUCACUUUUCUUUUUCUCUCUGCUUUCGCUUCUUUGGAAUUGAAAUGAAGUUGCUUUUUUGUUUGUAUUUGUGGGUUCUGUGUGGUCGAGGACUGCUGGUUAUGGCUGCAAGUAGUGACAGUAGCAGUGCGCAGAGGAAGCUUGAUCAGACACCCACAUGGGCUGUUGCUGGUGUUUGUGCUGUUAUGAUCAUCAUUUCUAUUCUCUUGGAAAAGGGUCUUCACAAAUUUGGAACGUGGUUGACAGAAAGGCACAAGAGAGCUUUAUUUGAAGCCUUGGAGAAAGUUAAAGCUGAG
This 411-nucleotide unclassified non-coding RNA is filed under the name Hevea brasiliensis (rubber tree). The record is from RNAcentral. Lineage: Eukaryota; Viridiplantae; Streptophyta; Magnoliopsida; Malpighiales; Euphorbiaceae.